UGGGAAUGUGGAAGUCAGCCUGUCUC
RNAcentral lists this non-coding RNA (26 nucleotides) under Mus musculus (house mouse). The record is from RNAcentral. Lineage: Eukaryota; Metazoa; Chordata; Mammalia; Rodentia; Muridae.